AGGGGCAGGGAGUUUAUGAGCAUGGCAAGGCUAACGAAAGGAAGCCGGAGCGAAAGCGAGUGCCGCGAGGCACUGGUAGGAAACUGCCAUAAGUCAUGUUUGUAAGACCCGAAGCCGCGCGAUCUAUACCUGGGCAGGCCGAAGUAGGGAUUACUCUCUAUGGAGGGCCGACCUGGUCGGUAACUACAUCGUCAGUUGACCUGGGUAUAGGGGCGAAAAACCAAUCGUGCGCGGCGAUAGCUGGUUCCCAUCGAAAUAUCCCAUAGGAUAGCUUAUACCCGAAUUUUAAAAGAGGUAAAGACACUGAUUGUGUUGGUAGGAGCCGAAAGGCUCCACAACAUUGUCAAACUCAGAAUUCCUUUAAAAAUAGGUAUAAGUUGGGUGUAUGGCGUAAAGUUUUACACCGAGAAGGAAACAACCUAGCCAUGAGUUAAGGCCCUUAAAUGUUUACUAAGUGCAAAAAAGAGGAAUCAUUUCUAAAACAGUUGGGAGGUGGGCUCAGAAGCGGCCAUCCUUCAAAAAGUGUGUUACAACUUACCAACCUAGAUAUGGUAACUCGAAAAUGGACGGGGCUAAGUAAGCUGCCGAAACUCAUGAUUUUGAUAAAAGUUUAUCAAAAAUGGUAGAUGGGCGUACCUGCAGACUAGAAGUCUUUUCGUGAGGGAAGAUGGAUCUGUAAGGUAUUGAGAAUCCUGCCAGGAGUAGCAAAUAAAUGGGUGAGAAUCCCAUCCGCCGCAUGUGCAAGGGUUCCUUGUUUUAAGAUUAUCUAACAAGGGUUAGUCGGUCCUAAGUUUUGCGUCGAAAGGUGCAAGGCAAAUGGGAAUGCGUUUAAUAUUACGCAACCACGGCGGUUUUACCGUUUAUUACGCGUUGAGAUAAGUGGAGUGGUCCAGUCAGAUUAUAUAUAGAUGCGAUGCAUUCGAGAGACGUAAUGUCGAGAAGAUGCAGAAGCGUUUAUAAUGUAGCAAUACAUCCAUUGAUUCCCGGCGCCCAUGAAAAUGUAAACGUUAUGAACCGAAGUGACCGUACCGAAAACUGACACAGGUGCACUGGCUGAGAAGGCUAAGGCGAGGGAUUUAAACAGGGUAAGGGAAAUCGGCAAGUUAGUCCCGUAAGUUCGCAAUAAGGGAUCCCUGAUUUGGUCUUAAAAGCUAAAUCAGGGCGCAGUGACGAAGGGAGUCUAACUGUUUACUAAAAGCAUAGCUGGCUGCUAGAGAGCAAUCUUUUGUACAGCCGGCGACAUCUGCCCAGCAUAGGUAUCCGAAAAUCUGUUUCAACGGGUAUAAGGACCUAUUAGCGGCGGAGGUAACUGUGACCUUCUUAAGCAAGCAUAAUCCAUUGCCAAUUGAUUGUUGGCUUGUGAACGAUGUAAUGAGAUUCCCGCUGUCCCUACCUUGAAACCCGCGAAACCACCGUCCUGGUGCAAAGGCCAGGGACCUCCACUGGGUCAAAAAGACCCCAGGAACUUUACUGCAGUCUCUUGUUGUGGUACUAAGUUGAUAGGCAUAGAGUAGGUAGCAGGCGUUAUGCUCAUUGUUCCGGCAAUGAGAUAGCCGAAAGUGUAACACUACCCUUAUUGACUUAUACCACUUACCUUCGGGAACAGCAGGAGAUGGGCAGUUUUGCUGGGGUGGCAAUCCCACGAAAAGAUAACAUGGGAGCCCAAAGGUCAUCUUAAGUGGCAUAGAAAUCCACUGUUAAGUGCAAUGGCAAAAGAUGGCUUGACUGCGCACUACAAAGCAAAGUGCACAGAGGCGAAAGCCGGGCAUAGCGAACACGAAUGCGUGUUUUUUUGACUCCUUCGUAUGACAGAAAAGCUACCCUGGGCGUAAGAGAGUUGUUGCGGAUGAUAGUUCAUAUUGACUUCGCAGCUUGCUCCACAGUCUUUGGCUCUCCCCAUCCUGGUUGUGCACAAGCAGCCAAGGGUACAGGUGUUCACUGGUUAAAGGGGACCGUGAGCUGAGUUUAGGCCGCCGCGAGGCAGGCCGGUAGUUAACUAGUGGAGGUGGUCGAUGCCUGAAUGGAAGAUUCGACUAGUACGAAAGGAACAGCGAUUCGGCGUCACUAGUUAGCGGUUAUCCGACAGGGUACGCCGCGUAGCCACACGCUAUGGGAUAAGAGCUGAAGGCAUCUAAGCUCGAAACCCUCCGUAAAAAUAGGCAUCGUUGAGGCUGGGGAAGAAGACCCCGUUGAUAGAAUCGGCGUGUAAGGACCAAGGCGAAAGCCGAGAUCUUCAGCGCACGAUUACUAAUCAGCCAA
Molecule: ribosomal RNA, 2259 nt
Filed under: Candidatus Parvarchaeum acidiphilum ARMAN-4
Lineage: Archaea; Nanobdellati; Candidatus Parvarchaeota
Description: 23S ribosomal RNA
Rfam family: Archaeal large subunit ribosomal RNA
Source: RNAcentral